GACGAACGCUGGCGGCGUGCCUAAUACAUGCAAGUCGAGCGGAUGGAAGGAAGCUUGCUUCCUAAAGUCAGCGGCGGACGGGUGAGUAACACGUGGGCAGCCUGCCCCUAAGAUCGGGAUAACUUCGGGAAACCGGAGCUAAUACCGGAUAUGAUAUGUCUCACAUGAGACAUAAUGGAAAGACGGUUUCGGCUGUCACUUAGGGAUGGGCCCGCGGCGCAUUAGCUAGUUGGUGAGGUAACGGCUCACCAAGGCGACGAUGCGUAGCCGACCUGAGAGGGUGAUCGGCCACACGGGGACUGAGACACGGCCCAGACUCCUACGGGAGGCAGCAGUAGGGAAUCUUCCGCAAUGGACGAAAGUCUGACGGAGCAACGCCGCGUGAGUGAAGAAGGUUUUCGGAUCGUAAAACUCUGUUGUUAGGGAAGAACAAGUACCAUAGUAACUGAUGGUACCUUGACGGUACCUAACCAGAAAGCCACGGCUAACUACGUGCCAGCCGCCGCAGUAA
This 511-nucleotide ribosomal RNA is filed under the name uncultured bacterium. RNAcentral describes it as "partial 16S ribosomal RNA". It matches the Rfam family "Bacterial small subunit ribosomal RNA", at positions 28 to 523 of the family's 1533-position model. The record is from RNAcentral.